CGCGCGGGACGACCCGCAGCAGCGUCCAGAACUUCGCAGGACGACCUGC
This 49-nucleotide non-coding RNA is filed under the name Dickeya dadantii 3937. RNAcentral describes it as "Guanidine-II riboswitch aptamer (mini-ykkC)". It matches the Rfam family "Guanidine-II riboswitch aptamer (mini-ykkC)". From Rfam's summary of the family: Simpler in structure and has fewer highly conserved nucleotide positions than the ykkC-yxkD leader. Despite this each of its two stem-loop structures directly bind free guanidine. RNAcentral also lists the same sequence under 1 other name. Lineage: Bacteria; Pseudomonadati; Pseudomonadota; Gammaproteobacteria; Enterobacterales; Pectobacteriaceae. The record is from Rfam by way of RNAcentral.